UCUGUGCUGUACAGAAAGAUGGCU
This 24-nucleotide non-coding RNA is filed under the name Mus musculus (house mouse). The record is from RNAcentral. Lineage: Eukaryota; Metazoa; Chordata; Mammalia; Rodentia; Muridae.